GAAGCUGACCAGACAGUCGCCGCUUCGUCGUCGUCCUCUUCGGGGGAGACGGGCGGAGGGGAGGAAAGUCCGGGCUCCAUAGGGCAGGGUGCCAGGUAACGCCUGGGGGGGGAAACCCACGACCAGUGCAACAGAGAGCAAACCGCCGAUGGCCCGCGUAAGCGGGAUCAGGUAAGGGUGAAAGGGUGCGGUAAGAGCGCACCGCGCGGCUGGUAACAGUCCGUGGCACGGUAAACUCCACCCGGAGCAAGGCCAAAUAGGGGUUCAUAAGGUACGGCCCGUACUGAACCCGGGUAGGCUGCUUGAGCCAGUGAGCGAUUGCUGGCCUAGAUGAAUGACUGUCCACGACAGAACCCGGCUUAUCGGUCAGUUUCACCU
RNAcentral lists this RNase P RNA (378 nucleotides) under Escherichia coli. RNAcentral's name for it is "RNase P RNA component class A". It matches the Rfam family "Bacterial RNase P class A". Rfam says of the family: Ribonuclease P (RNase P) is a ubiquitous endoribonuclease, found in archaea, bacteria and eukarya as well as chloroplasts and mitochondria. Its best characterised activity is the generation of mature 5'-ends of tRNAs by cleaving the 5'-leader elements of precursor-tRNAs. RNAcentral also lists the same sequence under 1 other name. The record is from RNAcentral. Lineage: Bacteria; Pseudomonadati; Pseudomonadota; Gammaproteobacteria; Enterobacterales; Enterobacteriaceae.